AUGCACUUGCCUUUGUGGAUAACCAGGAGUACAGGCGCCUGCGCUUUAAGAGAACAGGAACAACGCAAGUCCUCCCUACACCUCCUCUCCAAUUCUGCCCAAGUGCAUCCUACUUUCUCCCUGCUUGCUUAUAGUUUUUUCUUACUUUUACUGCUUGACGUUCUUAAAUUAUAUUCAGUUGUAGUUACGAUAGUUGAUUGUUUGCUAGACCUUUGUGUCGUAAUACGGAUUGAUUGUGUUAAAUCUUACCGACAAAAAGACUAUUCCUCUUUUCAUUACAUGGAAGAACAUAUGUGUGAGAUGAGAGAGGCAACUGAUGUGGUUCUUUAUCAUGUUGCUACCAUCGCAAGCACUUGUUAA
Molecule: ribosomal RNA, 360 nt
Filed under: Triticum aestivum (bread wheat)
Lineage: Eukaryota; Viridiplantae; Streptophyta; Magnoliopsida; Poales; Poaceae
Description: partial small subunit ribosomal RNA
Source: RNAcentral